CCCUUAGACGUUCUGGGCCGCACGCGCGCUACACUGACCAGUGCAACAAGCAUCCGUCCUUGGCCGACAGGCUCGGGCAAUCUUUGAACGCUGGUCGUGAUGGGGAUAGACUUUUGCAAUUUUUGGUCUUCAACGAGGAAUUCCUAGUAAACGCAAGUCAUCAACUUGCAUUGAUUACGUCCCUGCCCUUUGUACACACCGCCCGUCGCACCUGCCGAUUGAAUGGUCCGGUGAAGCCUCCGGAUUGGCGCGCACCUCGGUGCCGCCGAGAAGUUGGCUAAACCUUACCAUUUAGAGGAAGGUGAAGUCGUAACA
This 315-nucleotide ribosomal RNA is filed under the name uncultured eukaryote. RNAcentral's name for it is "partial 18S ribosomal RNA". It matches the Rfam family "Eukaryotic small subunit ribosomal RNA", at positions 1470 to 1796 of the family's 1831-position model. The record is from RNAcentral.